RNAcentral lists this ribosomal RNA (492 nucleotides) under uncultured bacterium. Its description in RNAcentral is "partial 16S ribosomal RNA". It matches the Rfam family "Bacterial small subunit ribosomal RNA", at positions 29 to 507 of the family's 1533-position model. The record is from RNAcentral.
AGUGAACGCUGGCGGUAGGCCUAACAUAUGCAAGUCGAACGGCAGCACAGUAAGAGCUUGCUCUUACGGGUGUCGAGUGGCGGACGGGUGAGUAAUACAUCGGAAUCUACUUUUUCGUGGGGGAUAACGUAGGGAAACUUACGCUAAUACCGCAUACGACCUACGGGUGAAAGCAGGGGAUCUUCUGACCUUGCGCGAUUGAAUGAGCCUAUGUCGGAUUAGCUAGUUGGCGGGGUAAAGGCCCACCAAGGCGACGAUCCGUAGCUGGUCUGAGAGGAUGAUCAGACACACUGGAACUGAGACACGGUCCAGACUCCUACGGGAGGCAGCAGUGGGGAAUAUUGGACAAGGGGCGAAAGCCUGAUCCAGGCAUACCGCGUGGGUGAAGAAGGCCUUCGGGUUGUAAAGCCCUUUUGUUGGGAAAGAAAAGCAGCAGGUUAAUACCCCGCUGUUCUGACGGUACCCAAAGAAUAAGCACCGGCUAACUUCGUG